UGCAGUCGAGCGAUUAAGCCCUUUCGGGGGUGUAUAAAGCGGCGGACGGGUGAGUAAGGCAUAGAUAAUCUGCCCCGAAGAGGGGGAUAGCCUGGGGAAACUUGGGUUAAUACCGCGUAAGCUGAUUCGGUGAAUACGAAUUAGUAAAGGCUUCGGCCGCUUUGGGAUGAGUCUAUGUAUGAUUAGCUAGUUGGAGAGGUAAAAGCUCCCCAAGGCUCCGAUCAUUAGCUGGUCUGAGAGGAUGAUCAGCCACACUGGAACUGAGACACGGUCCAGACUCCUACGGGAGGCAGCAGUGAGGAAUUUUGCGCAAUGGGGGAAACCCUGACGCAGCGACGCCGCGUGGAGGAUGAAGUCUUUCGAGAUGUAAACUUCUGUCAGUGGGGAUGAUAAUGACAGUACCCACAGAGGAAGCACCGGCUAACUCCGUGCCAGCAGCCGCGGUAAUACGGAGGGUGCAAGCGUUGUUCGGAAUUACUGGGCGUAAAGCGUACGUAGGCGGCGAGUUAAGUCGAAUGUUAAAGCCCGGGGCUCAACCCCGUGGAUGCCUUCGAUACUGGCUUGCUAGAGGGUGAUAGAGGAAAGUGGAAUUCCGAGUGUAGCGGUGAAAUGCGUAGAUAUUCGGAGG
Molecule: ribosomal RNA, 628 nt
Filed under: uncultured bacterium
Lineage: Bacteria
Description: bacterial SSU rRNA
Rfam family: Bacterial small subunit ribosomal RNA
Source: RNAcentral